This 730-nucleotide ribosomal RNA is filed under the name Proteus mirabilis. RNAcentral describes it as "bacterial SSU rRNA". It matches the Rfam family "Bacterial small subunit ribosomal RNA", at positions 717 to 1450 of the family's 1533-position model. Lineage: Bacteria; Pseudomonadati; Pseudomonadota; Gammaproteobacteria; Enterobacterales; Morganellaceae. The record is from RNAcentral.
GAAGGCGGCCCCUUGACAAAGACUGUCGCUCAGGUGGAAGCGUGGGGAGCAAGCAGGAUUAGAUCCCUGGUAGUCCCGCUGUAAAAUGAUGUCGAUUUAGAGGUUGUGGUUUUGAUCCGNGGCUUCUGGAGNUAACGCGUUAAAUCGACCGCCUGGGGAGUACGGCCGCAAGGUUAAAACUCAAAUGAAUUGACGGGGGCCCGCACAAGCGGUGGAGCAUGUGGUUUAAUUUGAUGCAACGCGAAGAACCUUACCUACUCUUGACAUCCAGCGAAUCCUUUAGAGAUAGAGGAGUGCCUUCGGGAACGCUGAGACAGGUGCUGCAUGGCUGUCGUCAGCUCGUGUUGUGAAAUGUUGGGUUAAGUCCCGCAACGAGCGCAACCCUUAUCCUUUGUUGCCAGCACGUAAUGGUGGGAACUCAAAGGAGACUGCCGGUGAUAAACCGGAGGAAGGUGGGGAUGACGUCAAGUCAUCAUGGCCCUUACGAGUAGGGCUACACACGUGCUACAAUGGCAGAUACAAAGAGAAGCGACCUCGCGAGAGCAAGCGGAACUCAUAAAGUCUGUCGUAGUCCGGAUUGGAGUCUGCAACUCGACUCCAUGAAGUCGGAAUCGCUAGUAAUCGUAGAUCAGAAUGCUACGGUGAAUACGUUCCCGGGCCUUGUACACACCGCCCGUCACACCAUGGGAGUGGGUUGCAAAAGAAGUAGGUAGCUUAACCUUCGGGAGGG